Molecule: ribosomal RNA, 1540 nt
Filed under: Klebsiella pneumoniae
Lineage: Bacteria; Pseudomonadati; Pseudomonadota; Gammaproteobacteria; Enterobacterales; Enterobacteriaceae
Description: bacterial SSU rRNA
Rfam family: Bacterial small subunit ribosomal RNA
Source: RNAcentral
AAAUUGAAGAGUUUGAUCAUGGCUCAGAUUGAACGCUGGCGGCAGGCCUAACACAUGCAAGUCGAGCGGUAGCACAGAGAGCUUGCUCUCGGGUGACGAGCGGCGGACGGGUGAGUAAUGUCUGGGAAACUGCCUGAUGGAGGGGGAUAACUACUGGAAACGGUAGCUAAUACCGCAUAAUGUCGAAAGACCAAAGUGGGGGACCUUCGGGCCUCAUGCCAUCAGAUGUGCCCAGAUGGGAUUAGCUAGUAGGUGGGGUAACGGCUCACCUAGGCGACGAUCCCUAGCUGGUCUGAGAGGAUGACCAGCCACACUGGAACUGAGACACGGUCCAGACUCCUACGGGAGGCAGCAGUGGGGAAUAUUGCACAAUGGGCGCAAGCCUGAUGCAGCCAUGCCGCGUGUGUGAAGAAGGCCUUCGGGUUGUAAAGCACUUUCAGCGGGGAGGAAGGCGGUGAGGUUAAUAACCUCAUCGAUUGACGUUACCCGCAGAAGAAGCACCGGCUAACUCCGUGCCAGCAGCCGCGGUAAUACGGAGGGUGCAAGCGUUAAUCGGAAUUACUGGGCGUAAAGCGCACGCAGGCGGUCUGUCAAGUCGGAUGUGAAAUCCCCGGGCUUAACCUGGGAACUGCAUUCGAAACUGGCAGGCUAGAGUCUUGUAGAGGGGGGUAGAAUUCCAGGUGUAGCGGUGAAAUGCGUAGAGAUCUGGAGGAAUACCGGUGGCGAAGGCGGCCCCCUGGACAAAGACUGACGCUCAGGUGCGAAAGCGUGGGGAGCAAACAGGAUUAGAUACCCUGGUAGUCCACGCCGUAAACGAUGUCGAUUUGGAGGUUGUGCCCUUGAGGCGUGGCUUCCGGAGCUAACGCGUUAAAUCGACCGCCUGGGGAGUACGGCCGCAAGGUUAAAACUCAAAUGAAUUGACGGGGGCCCGCACAAGCGGUGGAGCAUGUGGUUUAAUUCGAUGCAACGCGAAGAACCUUACCUGGUCUUGACAUCCACAGAACUUUCCAGAGAUGGAUUGGUGCCUUCGGGAACUGUGAGACAGGUGCUGCAUGGCUGUCGUCAGCUCGUGUUGUGAAAUGUUGGGUUAAGUCCCGCAACGAGCGCAACCCUUAUCCUUUGUUGCCAGCGGUUCGGCCGGGAACUCAAAGGAGACUGCCAGUGAUAAACUGGAGGAAGGUGGGGAUGACGUCAAGUCAUCAUGGCCCUUACGACCAGGGCUACACACGUGCUACAAUGGCAUAUACAAAGAGAAGCGACCUCGCGAGAGCAAGCGGACCUCAUAAAGUAUGUCGUAGUCCGGAUUGGAGUCUGCAACUCGACUCCAUGAAGUCGGAAUCGCUAGUAAUCGUAGAUCAGAAUGCUACGGUGAAUACGUUCCCGGGCCUUGUACACACCGCCCGUCACACCAUGGGAGUGGGUUGCAAAAGAAGUAGGUAGCUUAACCUUCGGGAGGGCGCUUACCACUUUGUGAUUCAUGACUGGGGUGAAGUCGUAACAAGGUAACCGUAGGGGAACCUGCGGUUGGAUCACCUCCUUA